UAGCUCAGUCGGUAAAGAAUCUGCCUGUAGUGCAGGAGACCCAGGUUCGAUCCCUGG
This is a non-coding RNA of Bos taurus (domestic cattle), 57 nucleotides long. The record is from Rfam. Lineage: Eukaryota; Metazoa; Chordata; Mammalia; Artiodactyla; Bovidae.